AGGGAAGAGCUCAAAUUUAAAAUCUGGCAAGCCUUGCGUUUGUCCGAAUUGUAAAUUAGAGAAGUGUUACCCGCGUUGGACCGUGUACAAGUCUCCUGGAAUGGAGCGUCAUAGAGGGUGAGAAUCCCGUCUUUGACACGGACUACCAAGGCUUUGUGGUGCGCUCUCAA
RNAcentral lists this ribosomal RNA (170 nucleotides) under Tetrapyrgos sp. RNAcentral describes it as "partial large subunit ribosomal RNA". It matches the Rfam family "Eukaryotic large subunit ribosomal RNA", at positions 99 to 260 of the family's 3401-position model. The record is from RNAcentral. Lineage: Eukaryota; Fungi; Basidiomycota; Agaricomycetes; Agaricales; Campanellaceae.